RNAcentral lists this ribosomal RNA (237 nucleotides) under uncultured bacterium. RNAcentral describes it as "partial 16S ribosomal RNA". It matches the Rfam family "Bacterial small subunit ribosomal RNA", at positions 99 to 334 of the family's 1533-position model. The record is from RNAcentral.
CGAACGGGUGAGUAACGCGUGAGGAACCUGCCUCAAAGAGGGGGACAACAGUUGGAAACGACUGCUAAUACCGCAUAAGCCCACGGCUCGGCAUCGAGCAGAGGGAAAAGGAGCAAUCCGCUUUGAGAUGGCCUCGCGUCCGAUUAGCUAGUUGGUGAGGUAACGGCCCACCAAAGCGACGAUGGAUAGGGGUUCUGAGAGGAAGGUCCCCCACAUUGGAACUGAGACACGGUCCAA